CAAAUUCUGAAAUAUGCGUCAGGCUUUAAUUUGAACCUACAUUAAUUGAAAGGGAGUUCAACAUUUAGAUGCUUAUAUGUACCCUUUAAGACAUAGGAGUGAUAGCGGUAUCUGUGAGGACACCCACCUAUCGGGAGAUAGGUGUCAAAUGAAGUCAGCGGUAUUUUGGAUUUAAU
Molecule: non-coding RNA, 176 nt
Filed under: Clostridium sp. cel8
Lineage: Bacteria; Bacillati; Bacillota; Clostridia; Eubacteriales; Clostridiaceae
Description: 6S / SsrS RNA
Rfam family: 6S / SsrS RNA
About the family: E. coli 6S RNA was the first non coding RNA to be sequenced, but its function was unknown until recently.
Source: Rfam by way of RNAcentral